RNAcentral lists this ribosomal RNA (253 nucleotides) under uncultured bacterium. RNAcentral describes it as "partial 16S ribosomal RNA". It matches the Rfam family "Bacterial small subunit ribosomal RNA", at positions 524 to 776 of the family's 1533-position model. The record is from RNAcentral.
UACGUAGGGUGCGAGCGUUAAUCGGAAUUACUGGGCGUAAAGCGUGCGCAGGCGGUUCGUUGUGUCGGUGGUGAAAGCCCCGGGCUCAACCUGGGAAUGGCAUUGGAAACUAGCGGGCUCGAGUGUGGCAGAGGGGGGUGGAAUUCCACGUGUAGCAGUGAAAUGCGUAGAGAUGUGGAGGAACACCGAUGGCGAAGGCAGCCCCCUGGGCUAACACUGACGCUCAGGCACGAAAGCGUGGGGAGCAAACAGG